RNAcentral lists this ribosomal RNA (440 nucleotides) under uncultured bacterium. RNAcentral's name for it is "partial 16S ribosomal RNA". It matches the Rfam family "Bacterial small subunit ribosomal RNA", at positions 338 to 795 of the family's 1533-position model. The record is from RNAcentral.
CCUACGGGAGACAGCAGUGGGGAAUAUUGGACAAUGGGGGGAACCCUGAUCCAGCGACGUCGCGUGAGUGAAGAAGUAUCUAGGUAUGUAAAGCUUCAUCAGCAGGGAAGAAAAUGACGGUACCUGACUACGAAGCGCGAGCUCACGACGUGCCAGCAGCCGCGGUAAUAAGUAGGGGGCACGCGUUAUCCGGAUUUACUGGGUGGAAAGGGAGCGUAGACGGUGCAGCAAGGUCGAUGUGAAAGGUCGGGGCCCAACCCCGGGACUGCAGUGGAAACUGUUGAACUGGAGUACAGGAGAGGUAAGCGGAAUUCCUAGUGUAGCGGUGAAAUGCGUAGAUAUUAGGAGGAACACCAGUGGCGAAGGCAGCUUACUGGACUGUAACUGACGUUGAGGCUCGAAAGCGUGGGGAGCAAACAGGAUUAGAUACCCGAGUAGUC